AUGAUAUCAGGAAAAGUGAGAAGAGGAGAAACUCAACAAGUCCAACACCCGGUAUGGAAGGCACCUCCGAUAGGGAUUGUCAAUUCAGAAGCUGUCGGUUGUCUCGGAUUGCUUGAAUGCCAUGUCAGAUAUAAGAAGGCGAAGGGAGAAACAGGAGCUAUAGAUCAGGAGCUUAUCACUGGGCAGUCUUGUUUUAUUCAUUUUGAUUUCAUGUUUGAAACUAGGAGCACAAAUGUUGAUUCUCACAACCUUGCUAGGUUUUGUUUUGCUCUUAGUUUGGGGCGCCACUUGUGGCUGGGAUCUCCUCCUGCACAAGCAAACAUUCCUGUGAUAGUUUCUAUCGACCAAUAG
Molecule: ribosomal RNA, 351 nt
Filed under: Triticum aestivum (bread wheat)
Lineage: Eukaryota; Viridiplantae; Streptophyta; Magnoliopsida; Poales; Poaceae
Description: partial small subunit ribosomal RNA
Source: RNAcentral